UACGGGAGGCAGCAGUGGGGAAUAUUGCACAAUGGGCGCAAGCCUGAUGCAGCCAUGCCGCGUGUAUGAAAAAGGCCUUCGGGUUGUAAAGUACUUUCAGUCGUGAGGAAGGUGUUAAGGUUAAUAACCUUAGCAAUUGACGUUAGCGACAGAAGAAGCACCGGCUAACUCCGUGCCAGCAGCCGCGGUAAUACGGAGGGUGCGAGCGUUAAUCGGAAUUACUGGGCGUAAAGGGCACGCAGGCGGUUAAUUAAGUUGGAUGUGAAAUCCCCGGGCUUAACCUGGGAAUGGCAUUCAAGCUGGUUAGCUAGAGUCUUGUAGAGGGGGUAGAAUUCCAUGUGUAGCGGUGAAAUGCGUAGAGAUGUGGAGGAAUACCGGUGGCGAAGGCGGCCCCGUGGACAAAGACUGACGCUCAUGUGCGAAAGCGUGGGGAGCAAACAGGGAUUAGAUACC
Molecule: ribosomal RNA, 453 nt
Filed under: uncultured bacterium
Lineage: Bacteria
Description: bacterial SSU rRNA
Rfam family: Bacterial small subunit ribosomal RNA
Source: RNAcentral